RNAcentral lists this ribosomal RNA (492 nucleotides) under uncultured bacterium. Its description in RNAcentral is "partial 16S ribosomal RNA". It matches the Rfam family "Bacterial small subunit ribosomal RNA", at positions 29 to 507 of the family's 1533-position model. The record is from RNAcentral.
AUUGAACGCUGGCGGCAUGCUUUACACAUGCAAGUCGAACGGUAACAGGCCUUCGGGUGCUGACGAGUGGCGAACGGGUGAGUAAUGCAUCGGAACGUACCCAGAGGUGGGGGAUAACGCAGCGAAAGCUGUGCUAAUACUGCAUGUGAUCUGAGGAUGAAAGCGGGGGACCGAGCAGCAAUGUUUGGCCUCGCGCCUUUGGAGCGGCCGAUGUCGGAUUAGCUAGUUGGUGGGGUAAAGGCCUACCAAGGCGACGAUCCGUAGCUGGUCUGAGAGGACGACCAGCCACACUGGGACUGAGACACGGCCCAGACUCCUACGGGAGGCAGCAGUGGGGAAUAUUGGACAAUGGGCGCAAGCCUGAUCCAGCAAUGCCGCGUGCGGGAAGAAGGCCUUCGGGUUGUAAACCGCUUUUGGCAGGAACGAAACGGUGUCCGCUAAUACCGGGCGCUAAUGACGGUACCUGCAGAAUAAGCACCGGCUAACUACGUG